RNAcentral lists this ribosomal RNA (167 nucleotides) under uncultured bacterium. RNAcentral describes it as "partial 16S ribosomal RNA". It matches the Rfam family "Bacterial small subunit ribosomal RNA", at positions 1334 to 1500 of the family's 1533-position model. The record is from RNAcentral.
GCUAGUAAUGGCAGGUCAGCAUACUGCCGUGAAUACGUUCCCGGGCCUUGUACACACCGCCCGUCACACCAUGAGAGUUGGGGAUACCCGAAGCCUGUGAGCUAACUUAACGGAGGCAGCAGUCGAAGGUAGAAUCAAUGAUUGGGGUGAAGUCGUAACAAGGUAUC